This 387-nucleotide ribosomal RNA is filed under the name uncultured bacterium. Its description in RNAcentral is "bacterial SSU rRNA". It matches the Rfam family "Bacterial small subunit ribosomal RNA", at positions 28 to 419 of the family's 1533-position model. The record is from RNAcentral.
GACGAACGCUGGCGGCGUGCUUAACACAUGCAAGUCACGGGGGUCCCGUAGCAAUACGGGAUAACCGGCGAACGGGUGCGUAACACGUGAGCAACCUGCCGUACUCAGGGGGAUAGCCGGCCCAACGGCCGGGUAAUACCGCAUACGAUUCUUCGGGGGAGUCCCCGGGGAAGGAAACCUCUGGGGGAGUACGAGGGGCUCGCGGCCUAUCAGCUAGUUGGUGCGGUAACGGCGCACCAAGGCGACGACGGGUAGCUGGCUGAGAGGAUGGCCAGCCACAUUGGGACUGAGAGACGGCCCAGACUCCUACGGGAGGCAGCAGUGGGGAAUCUUGCGCAAUGGCCGAAAGGCUGACGCAGCGACGCCGCGUGGGGGAUGAAGCAUUUC